UACAGCGUGGCAUAGUGGUUUGAGUGUUGGACUAGGACUCCGGAGACCAGGGAUUGAUUCCCUGCUCGGCCA
RNAcentral lists this transfer RNA (72 nucleotides) under Phrynosoma platyrhinos (Desert horned lizard). RNAcentral describes it as "tRNA-OTHER". The record is from RNAcentral. Lineage: Eukaryota; Metazoa; Chordata; Lepidosauria; Squamata; Phrynosomatidae.